AGUGAACGCUGGCGGUAGGCCUAACACAUGCAAGUCGAACGGCAGCACAGUAAGAGCUUGCUCUUACGGGUGGCGAGUGGCGGACGGGUGAGGAAUACAUCGGAAUCUACUUUUUCGUGGGGGAUAACGUAGGGAAACUUACGCUAAUACCGCAUACGACCUACGGGUGAAAGCAGGGGAUCUUCGGACCUUGCGCGAUUGAAUGAGCCGAUGUCGGACUAGCUAGUUGGCGGGGUAAAGGCCCACCAAGGCGACGAUCCGUAGCUGGUCUGAGAGGAUGAUCAGCCACACUGGAACUGAGACACGGUCCAGACUCCUACGGGAGGCAGCAGUGGGGAAUAUUGGACUAUGGGCGCAAGCCUGAUCCAGCCAUACCGCGUGGGUGAAGAAGGCCUUCGGGUUGUAAAGCCCUUUUGUUGGGAAAGAAAAGCAGCAGGUUAAUACCCCGCUGUUCUGACGGUACCCAAAGAAUAAGCACCGGCUAACUUCGUG
RNAcentral lists this ribosomal RNA (492 nucleotides) under uncultured bacterium. RNAcentral's name for it is "partial 16S ribosomal RNA". It matches the Rfam family "Bacterial small subunit ribosomal RNA", at positions 29 to 507 of the family's 1533-position model. The record is from RNAcentral.